Molecule: ribosomal RNA, 261 nt
Filed under: uncultured prokaryote
Description: partial 16S ribosomal RNA
Rfam family: Bacterial small subunit ribosomal RNA
Source: RNAcentral
UACGUAGGGAGCAAGCGUUGUCCGGAUUUACUGGGUGUAAAGGGCGCGUAGGCGGGAUCGCAAGUCAGAUGUGAAAUCUAGGGGCUUAACCCCUAAACUGCAUUUGAAACUGCGGUUCUUGAGUGAUGGAGAGGCAGGCGGAAUUCCUAGUGUAGCGGUGAAAUGCGUAGAUAUCGGGAGGAACACCAGUGGCGAAGGCGACUUCCUGGCACAAUACUGACGCUCAUGUGCGAAAGCUAGGGUAGCGAACGGGAUUAGAUA